This 425-nucleotide ribosomal RNA is filed under the name uncultured fungus. Its description in RNAcentral is "eukaryotic LSU rRNA". It matches the Rfam family "Eukaryotic large subunit ribosomal RNA", at positions 1 to 417 of the family's 3401-position model. Lineage: Eukaryota; Fungi. The record is from RNAcentral.
UUGAUCUCAAAUCAGGUAGGACUACCCGCUGAACUUAAGCAUAUCAAUAAGCGGAGGAAAAGAAACUAACAAGGAUUCCCCUAGUAACUGCGAGUGAAGCGGGAAGAGCUCAAAUUUAAAAUCUGACGUGCCUCUGGUCGUCCGAGUUGUAGUCUGGAGAAGCGUCUUCCGUGUUGGACCGUGUAUAAGUCUCUUGGAACAGGGCGUCAUAGAGGGUGAGAAUCCCGUCUUUGACACGGACUACCAAUGCUUUGUGAUGCGCUCUCAAAGAGUCGAGUUGUUUGGGAAUGCAGCUCAAAAUGGGUGGUAAAUUCCAUCUAAAGCUAAAUAUAGGCGAGAGACCGAUAGCGAACAAGUACCGUGAGGGAAAGAUGAAAAGCACUUUGGAAAGAGAGUUAAACAGUACGUGAAAUUGCUGAAAGGGA